Molecule: ribosomal RNA, 492 nt
Filed under: uncultured bacterium
Lineage: Bacteria
Description: partial 16S ribosomal RNA
Rfam family: Bacterial small subunit ribosomal RNA
Source: RNAcentral
AGUGAACGCUGGCGGUAGGCCUAACACAUGCAAGUCGAACGGCAGCACAGUAAGAGCUUGCUCUUACGGGUGGCGAGUGGCGGACGGGUGAGGAAUACAUCGGAAUCUACUUUUUCGUGGGGGAUAACGUAGGGAAACUUACGCUAAUACCGCAUACGACCUACGGGUGAAAGUAGGGGAUCUUCGGACCUUGCGCGAUUGAAUGAGCCGAUGUCGGAUUAGCUAGUUGGCGGGGUAAAGGCCCACCAAGGCGACGAUCCGUAGCUGGUCUGAGAGGAUGAUCAGCCACACUGGAACUGAGACACGGUCCAGACUCCUACGGGAGGCAGCAGUGGGGAAUAUUGGACAAUGGGCGCAAGCCUGAUCCAGCCAUACCGCGUGGGUGAAGAAGGCCUUCGGGUUGUAAAGCCCUUUUGUUGGAAAAGAAAAGCAGCAGGUUAAUACCCCGCUGUUCUGACGGUACCCAAAGAAUAAGCACCGGCUAACUUCGUG